This 254-nucleotide ribosomal RNA is filed under the name uncultured bacterium. Its description in RNAcentral is "partial 16S ribosomal RNA". It matches the Rfam family "Bacterial small subunit ribosomal RNA", at positions 524 to 776 of the family's 1533-position model. The record is from RNAcentral.
UACAGAGGUCUCAAGCGUUGUUCGGAUUCAUUGGGCGUAAAGGGUGUGUAGGUGGCGCCGUAAGUCGGGUGUGAAAUUUCGGAGCUUAACUCCGAAACUGCAUUCGAUACUGCGGUGCUUGAGGACUGGAGAGGAGACUGGAAUUCAUGGUGUAGCAGUGAAAUGCGUAGAUAUCGGGAGGAACACCAGUGGCGAAGGCGACUACCUGGCCUGUUUCUUGACGCUGAGGCGCGAAAGCUAGGGGAGCAAACGGG